GUGGGGAAUCUUGCACAAUGGGGGCAACCCUGAUGCAGCGACGCCGCGUGAGCGAUGAAGCCCUUCGGGGCGUAAAGCUCUUUCGACCGGAACGAUAAUGACGGUACCGGGAGAAGAAGCUGCGGCUAACUACGUGCCAGCAGCCGCGGUAAUACGUAGGCAGCAAGCGUUGUUCGGAGUUACUGGGCGUAAAGAGUGCGUAGGCGGUUUUGUAAGACAGAUGUGAAAUCCCCGGGCUUAACCUGGGAACUGCGUUUGUGACUGCAAGGCUGGAGUACGGCAGAGGGGGGUGGAAUUCCACGUGUAGCAGUGAAAUGCGUAGAGAUGUGGAGGAACACCGAUGGCGAAGGCAGCCCCCUGGGCCUGUACUGACGCUCAUGCACGAAAGCGUGGGGAGCAAACA
This 403-nucleotide ribosomal RNA is filed under the name uncultured bacterium. RNAcentral's name for it is "bacterial SSU rRNA". It matches the Rfam family "Bacterial small subunit ribosomal RNA", at positions 354 to 774 of the family's 1533-position model. The record is from RNAcentral.